Molecule: long non-coding RNA, 710 nt
Organism: Herpailurus yagouaroundi (jaguarundi)
Lineage: Eukaryota; Metazoa; Chordata; Mammalia; Carnivora; Felidae
Exons: 5
Source: RefSeq, a predicted model, not a curated record
ACCUGCGGGCUAGGUGGGAGGCUCACCCUCUGAGAGGAAAGGAAGCGAGGAUCGCGCGGCCGGAGAGCGAGGAGACGCUUGGAGUCCAGGGCUCGGGCCGCCCACACCUCCUCCUGCGGCGGACACGGCACAGCGGGCGGCGCACCGGCCGCAUCCGCGACCCUGCGCGCAGGGAGCAGGAGGAGAGUGGCUCAAGGAGACUUGAUUUUCUUGGAUUUGCUGCAAUUCCUUAAACCGAACCAGGCUUUCGGGGCGUUAAAGGAAAUUACCGUCUACAGGUGGCAGUGUGGAAGCCAAAACGGGAGCUUCCAGAAGUGGUUUCUGAAAAAUAAGAGUGAAUAUGCACGAGGGAGCUCGGACAGGAAUCACAAAAACCGCAGGGUCUUCCUCUGAGCCAACGGAGGAGGCAGAUUGGGGAGGCCUGAUGUGGACGGUGGCGGGCCUCCUUGUUCUUCCAGAAGCCGUAGUGGCAGCCGUGUCCUGUCUUUCAGAGGAGGCAGAUGAGAAGGGAGGCAAGGACUUUCUGCCUCGCGGAUGACCGUUCGGAGACCCAAAGAAAAACUUUUCAAAGAUUUUUGGCAAGUGGCUUCUAAAGAUAAGUUUACAGUGUGGGUUUCGUCUCCAAACAUUUUUUUUUUUAAUUUUUUAAAAUGUUUACUUAUUUUUGGUAAAGAGAGAGACAGAGCAUGAGCAGAGGAGGGUAGGGAGAG